RNAcentral lists this ribosomal RNA (594 nucleotides) under uncultured bacterium. Its description in RNAcentral is "bacterial SSU rRNA". It matches the Rfam family "Bacterial small subunit ribosomal RNA", at positions 334 to 919 of the family's 1533-position model. The record is from RNAcentral.
UACUCCUACGGGAGGCAGCAGUGGGGAAUUUUGGACAAUGGGGGCAACCCUGAUCCAGCCAUGCCGCGUGAGUGAAGAAGGCCUUCGGGUUGUAAAGCUCUUUCGGCGGGGAAGAGAUGGCAACGGCUAAUAUCCGUUGUUGAUGACGGUACCCGCAUAAGAAGCACCGGCCAACUACGUGCCAGCAGCCGCGGUAAUACGUAGGGUGCGAGCGUUAAUCGGAAUUACUGGGCGUAAAGCGUGCGCAGGCGGUUUCGUAAGACAGACGUGAAAUCCCCGGGCUCAACCUGGGAACUGCGUUUGUGACUGCGAGGCUAGAGUACGGCAGAGGGGGGUAGAAUUCCACGUGUAGCAGUGAAAUGCGUAGAGAUGUGGAGGAAUACCGAUGGCGAAGGCAGCCCCCUGGGUUAGUACUGACGCUCAUGCACGAAAGCGUGGGGAGCAAACAGGAUUAGAUACCCUGGUAGUCUACGCCCUAAACGAUGUCAACUAGGUGUUGGAAGGGUUAAACCUUUUAGUACCGCAGCUAACGCGUGAAGUUGACCGCCUGGGGAGUACGGCCGCAAGGUUAAAACUCAAAGGAAUUGACGGAAG